Molecule: ribosomal RNA, 504 nt
Filed under: uncultured bacterium
Lineage: Bacteria
Description: partial 16S ribosomal RNA
Rfam family: Bacterial small subunit ribosomal RNA
Source: RNAcentral
AACGAACGCUGGCGGCACGUUUUAAGCAUGCAAGUCGAACGGCAGUGGGGGCAACCUCAUGAGAGUGGCGAACGGGUGAGUAACACGUAGGUGAUCUGCCUUUAGGUUGGGGAUAGCUUGUGGAAACACAGGGUAAUACCGGAUGAGCUGACUGUCACUUUGGUGAUGUUAGUAAAGGUGCUACGGCACCGCCUAGAGAGGAGCCUGCGGCUGAUUAGCUAGUUGGUGGGGUAAAGGCCUACCAAGGCAACGAUCAGUAGCCGGCCUGAGAGGGUGUACGGCCAGACUGGAACUGAGACACGGUCUAGACUCCUACGGGAGGCAGCAGCUAAGAAUCUUCCGCAAUGGGCGAAAGCCUGACGGAGCGAUGCCGCGUGAUCGAUGAAGGUCGAGAGAUUGUAAAGAUCUUUUCCAACUGAGGAAUAAGUGGACCAGGGAAUGGGUUCAUGAUGACGUUAAGUUGGGAAUAAGCCCCGGCUAAUUACGUGCCAGCAGCCGCCGUAA